UAAGGAAUAUUGGUCAAUGGACGCAAGUCUGAACCAGCCAUGCCGCGUGAAGGAUGAAGGUCCUCUGGAUUGUAAACUUCUUUUAUCUGGGACGAAAACGGGAUUUUUAUCUCAAUUGACGGUACCAGAGGAAUAAGCACCGGCUAACUCCGUGCCAGCAGCCGCGGUAAUACGGAGGGUGCGAGCGUUAUCCGGAUUUACUGGGUUUAAAGGGUGCGUAGGUGGGCUUAUAAGUCAGUGGUGAAAUCUCCGAGCUUAACUUGGAAACUGCCGUUGAUACUAUAGGUCUUGAAUUAUCUGGAGGUAAGCGGAAUAUGUCAUGUAGCGGCGAAAUGCUUAGAUAUGACAUAGAACACCAAUUGCGAAGGCAGCUUACUACAUAUAAAUUGACGCUGAGGCACGAAAGCGUGGGGAUCAAACA
Molecule: ribosomal RNA, 421 nt
Filed under: uncultured bacterium
Lineage: Bacteria
Description: bacterial SSU rRNA
Rfam family: Bacterial small subunit ribosomal RNA
Source: RNAcentral